AACGAACGCUGGCGGCAGGCUUAACACAUGCAAGUCGAGCGCCUCGCCAGAGGAGCGGCAGACGGGUGAGUAACGCGUGGGAACGUACCCUUAUCUUCGGAAUAGCUCUGGGAAACUGGAAGUAAUACCGAAUGUGCCCUUAGGGGGAAAGAUUUAUCGGAUAAGGAUCGGCCCGCGUUGGAUUAGCUAGUUGGUGGGGUAAAGGCCUACCAAGGCGACGAUCCAUAGCUGGUCUGAGAGGAUGAUCAGCCACAUUGGGACUGAGACACGGCCCAAACUCCUCCGGGAGGCAGCGGGGGGGAAUAUGGGAAAGGGGGCCAAAGCCGGACCCCCCCAGGCGGGGGGAGUGAUAAGGGCCUGAGGUUAGUAAAGCUCUUUCCCCGGAGAAGAUAAUGAGGGUAGCGGGAAAAAAGGCCCGGGCAAACUUGGUC
This 431-nucleotide ribosomal RNA is filed under the name uncultured bacterium. Its description in RNAcentral is "partial 16S ribosomal RNA". It matches the Rfam family "Bacterial small subunit ribosomal RNA", at positions 29 to 507 of the family's 1533-position model. The record is from RNAcentral.